AAUCGGACCAAGGAGUCUAGCAUGUGCGCGAGUCAUUGGGAAUAACUAAACCUAAAGGCGCAAUGAAAGUGAAGGUUCGUCUCGCGCGGACCGAGGGAAGACGGGCGUGCACGUCCGCGUGCCGCCCAGCACUCCCGGGGCGUCUCGUUCUCAUUGCGAGAAGAGGCGCACCAAGAGCGUACACGCUGGGACCCGAAAGAUGGUGAACUAUGCCUGGUCAGGACGAAGUCAGGGGAAACCCUGAUGGAGGUCCGUAGCGAUUCUGACGUGCAAAUCGAUCGUCGGAACUGGGUAUAGGGGCGAAAGACUAAUCGAACCAUCUAGUAGCUGGUUCCCUCCGAAGUUUCCCUCAGGAUAGCUGGCGCUCGUCGCCUACGAGUCUCAUCCGGUAAAGCGAAUGAUUAGAGGCAUUGGGGUCGAAACGGCCUCAACCUAUUCUCAAACUUUAAAUGGGUGAGAUCUCCGGCUUGCUCGAACUUAUGAAGCCGCGAGACACGGAUCAGAGUGCCAAGUGGGCCAUUUUUGGUAAGCAGAACUGGCGCUGUGGGAUGAACCAAACGCCGAGUUAAAGCGCCUAAAUCGACGCUUAUGGGAUACCAUGAAAGGCGUUGGUAACUUAAGACAGCAGGACGGUGGCCAUGGAAGUCGGAAUCCG
RNAcentral lists this ribosomal RNA (655 nucleotides) under Opilo cf. rugulicollis G0135. RNAcentral's name for it is "partial 28S large subunit ribosomal RNA". It matches the Rfam family "Eukaryotic large subunit ribosomal RNA", at positions 659 to 1270 of the family's 3401-position model. Lineage: Eukaryota; Metazoa; Arthropoda; Insecta; Coleoptera; Cleridae. The record is from RNAcentral.